RNAcentral lists this ribosomal RNA (402 nucleotides) under bacterium. RNAcentral's name for it is "partial 16S ribosomal RNA". It matches the Rfam family "Bacterial small subunit ribosomal RNA", at positions 355 to 776 of the family's 1533-position model. The record is from RNAcentral.
UGGGGAAUUUUGCACAAUGGGGGAAACCCUGAUGCAGCGACGCCGCGUGAUUUAGAAGGCCUUCGGGUUGUAAAAAUCUUUUCUAUGGGAAGAAAAUGACAGUACCAUAGGAAUAAGGACCGGCUAAUUACGUGCCAGCAGCCGCGGUAAUACGUAAGGUCCGAGCGUUGUCCGGAAUCAUUGGGCGUAAAGGGUACGUAGGCGGGUAAGCAAGUUAGAAGUGAAAUCCUAUAGCUCAACUAUAGUAAGCUUUUAAAACUGCUCAUCUUGAGGUAUGGAAGGGAAAGUGGAAUUCCUAGUGUAGCGGUGAAAUGCGCAGAUAUUAGGAGGAAUACCAGUGGCGAAGGCGACUUUCUGGCCAUAACCUGACGCUGAGGUACGAAAGCGUGGGUAGCAAACAGG